CCCUUAGAUGUUCUGGGCCGCACGCGCGCUACACUGAUGCAUUCAACGAGUCUAAAACCUGCUCUGAUAGGGGUGGGUAAUCUUUUGAAUGUGCAUCGUGAUUGGGAUAGAUGAUUGCAAUUUUUCAUCUUCAACGAGGAAUGCCUAGUAAACGCAAGUCAUCAGCUUGCAUUGAUUACGUCCCUGCCCUUUGUACACACCGCCCGUCGCUCCUACCGAUUGAAUGCUCAGGUGAGCCAUUCGGACUUUCAUCAUGCUGGUUUCCAGUUUUGAUGAAGGAAAGUCUUGCGAACCUUAUCAUUUAGAGGAAGGAGAAGUCGUAACA
RNAcentral lists this ribosomal RNA (325 nucleotides) under uncultured eukaryote. RNAcentral's name for it is "partial 18S ribosomal RNA". It matches the Rfam family "Eukaryotic small subunit ribosomal RNA", at positions 1470 to 1796 of the family's 1831-position model. The record is from RNAcentral.